GGUAGUAGGGUCAUAUAAAUUAUUUCUAGCCAUUGGAAUAGGUAGAAGAGAUGUAAACCAUUUCCAAAUGUAACCCGUAGAACCUCCCAAGAGUUCCUCCAGACUCCCUCUUUUUCCUCUCCAUAGCAACCUUGAAGACUUAAUGUUGAAGAUGGCAGCCAUACAAGAUGGAAGAAAUGAGCAUCUCCAAAUGAAUAGUUGGCAAAAAGCCUCCUCACUACCACACCCCAGCACUGAUUGGUUUGGAUGUAAUACAGGAGGCGUUACCAUUUAGGUGAACACUGAAGGGAGCAUGAAGCCUUGAUGAUUGCAAGCUCAGAAUGAAAUGGAAAUGACUUCAUUAUGAGGCAGUUCCAGUCCUGAGCUGACGGGUUUUAACCACGAGCUAAUUCUUGUGCUAGUCAGACCCCUGUGAGAGGACUCUAGGCCAGCUUGCUAGAACUGAGCAGGAGAAUUUGGAGACAGUCCAGAGGAGAGCCACAAAGCCCAAUCAUGAGCAAGAGUAAUUGCAGUUCUGUUAUAGAGAGGCCAUCUAUAUCAGGCUUCUACUGAGUAUCACGUGGAAUGUUACAACACAAAGCAUUGGGAACAGCUGUUCGGGGCCUUGAUGAGAGACAGGACAGCAGAAAUGAGAACAGGUGGGAGAAUUUAGGUUAGAUGAGAGGAAAGGCAGGACGGUCAGAGAAGGGUUCCAGCUUAUCCCAGGCUGAGGAGGGGUGAGGCCGAGGCCCCGCCAGCAGCCCCAGAGCCUCCACUGGCCUGUAUUUCCAGAGGAGCCGUCAGACUAUGCUAAAUUUGCGGCAAGCUAUGUCACUUGAAGUUUGCUGCAGGAAGCUACUUAAUACGUUCUAAAUAUAUGUUAAAUAGUUCUCAAAAUGUGGCAAGAAGGAAAGUUAAAAAAAAAUCGAGGUUAUAAAAUCUGUGUGGAAGUUGCAAGAGUGCAAUCAUCUGGGAAAACCUAGCAAAUUCAUUUCCUGGGACAAGGAAGCCGGAGUUCAAACUGCAGUAACACAGGCAACUCCACGAUGGCACGGGUGAUUAAGGUAAUGGGAGCCGCAGGGAUGAAUAAAAAUCAGAAUGACUAAUACUUUGAAAAUUACUCAAAUGCGACACAGAGGAGUCGAUGACGUACGUCGCCACCCUAAUAAGUCUGCAAACCAAGGCCUUCACAAACUGCACACGAACCUGGUUUGGGUCCCAUCAUGCUUCUGGCACAAGCUUAGAAGGGCCCCAUUGGUUCACAUGUUGCUUGGACCAUGGACAGAGAGGCCAAACUGUCACAGAGACAGCAUAAUUUUUUAAAACCACCAUUGUCAUUUACUGCACUAGUUUCCCUAACAAAGUUGUGAAAAUGAAAAGUAUUGACAUAUAAAUGUAAUGUAUUCUAAUUGUAAUAAAAUGGUAUUUCCAAAAGAUUUUGGUGGGGGGGGUUGUAAUUUUUUCUAAAUGCAUUCUAAUUUCUUACAGCUUCUAUCUUUACUAGAUGUUACAGGUUGAGUAAUUGCAUAGUACCUGCGGAAAUGUGAAAAAACAAUUUUUGUGGUUGUCUUUUGAAAUGUAUACAAUAUGUCCUCAAAAGUUGGGUCUCUAUCCUAGAAACAAAAUAUCAUGUAACUCAUAUAGAAUUAUGCAGUUAAAGAGUUAGAAGUUUGGUCUAGCUUUUAUUUCUGUAAAAUUAAAGAGCAGUGCAUAAAGAUAAAAGCAAAAAGAACAUAUCUUUUUUGUUAUGUGGCCUAAAAUACCUCAUUUGACCGAAAGUGCAAUUUUGUGGUCAUUAUUUGGUUGGUAUACAAGAGGUGUUGUUCUUUCUUUUGUUGUUUUUUUCUUUCGAAACAAGACCGUAGUGGCUUCUCUUCCGUGGUCAUCUGAUUUGAGGUUUAAAUUGCCCCAGAAAACUGAAGAAUAUUCUGAUUACUGGUUAGGUUUUAUAUUUCCUGUGAGAACAUUCUUUACACAAGAAAACUGUAGCACCAACUUAUUCAUAAGAGAAAUGAUGUUUUGUUCACAUGUAUUUUGUUUGCUAAAUGACGUAUUAGACUCACAACAUGCUUUUCUCAAAUGAAGAUUUUUAAACUCA
This is a long non-coding RNA of Suricata suricatta (meerkat), 2077 nucleotides long. RefSeq lists it as uncharacterized. The transcript has 2 exons. Lineage: Eukaryota; Metazoa; Chordata; Mammalia; Carnivora; Herpestidae. The record is from RefSeq and is a predicted model, not a curated record.